Hyaena hyaena (striped hyena) is the source of this 2476-nucleotide RNA transcript. It is a transcript of the gene named Fc receptor like 1, with no coding region annotated. NCBI's taxonomy places the organism in Eukaryota, Metazoa, Chordata, Mammalia, Carnivora, Hyaenidae. The transcript is spliced from 12 exons. The record is from RefSeq and is a predicted model, not a curated record.
CCCGGAUGACGGCCCAGCGGUCUCUGGCUUGGACAUUCACACCCAGAGCAGCCACAGUGCAGGCUGUUGAGAAACAAGAACAUGUGUAGAGCAGACAUGGACCAAGAGACACCCUUCCCAACAAGGGAAACACGCCAUUGAACUUCCGCAGGACCCUGGUCUGAGGAAUGCUCAUCAGAGUCAGAAAUUGGCUCCAGGAAAGUUCCCUUGAGGCACCACCUGAGCUCUGGAGGGAGGCCCUGAUGCAUUGAUGUGCACCCGCUUCUAGUCAUGGACAGUGAACCAAAUACAGAAAGGAGCAUCUUUGCUCGUCCGGGCCCUCACGGGACAGGAAGUAGAGGUGGGCCUUCAGAGCGCUCUAGUUCUUCCUUCUAUUUCUGUAGACAUGCUUCAGAGUAACUUUCUCACCCUCUGACAUGCCGCUGCCUCUCGCCUCUGAGCUGGAUUCUUCCUCCGAUGAGAAAGCAUCUACAGUGACAGCCCCCGACCUGGUCCUCAUGCUGCUGGGGCUCAUGCUGUUGAUGUGGGCUCCACCCUGCGAACCUACUGUGCUGCACCUGACGGCCAGGCCCUCUCAGCCCGUGGAGGGAAGCUCAGUGAACCUGACCUGCAACAUCCGGGUCCCUUUAGGGAAGCUGGACGUCCCCCUCCAGUUCCGCUUCUUCAGAAACGGCCAGGUCCUGUGGCCGGACUGGAGCAGCUCCGCAGAGCUCCAGCUCCCCACUGUGUGGAGGGAAGACACAGGGUCCUACUGGUGUGAAGGAAAGACCACGGCAUCCAGAGUCACUCGGAGCUCAAGGGUCCAGAUACAGGUGCAGAGAGUCCCCGUCUGCAAUGUGAGCCUGGAGACGCAGCCUCCCGGCGGGCAGGUGCAGAAGGGACAGAGGCUGGCUCUCGUCUGCGAGGUGGCCACCGGCACUGGAGAUAUCACCUUCCUCUGGUACAAAGGCGCCCUGGGUUUGAGCCUGGAAACAAAGACCCAGCGCUCUCUGGCAGCGAAGUUCGAGAUCGCGGCGGUGGGGGACAGUGACACGGGCAAGUACUACUGCGCGGCCGACAACGGCUACGGCCCCAGCCUCAGCGAGCUGGUGAGCGUCACCGUCAGAAUUCCAGUGUCCCGCCCCGUCCUCACCGUCAGGGCGCCCGGGGCCCAGGCCGAGGAGGGGGACAUGGUGGAGCUUCGCUGUGAGGCCCAGAGCGGCUCUCCCCCGAUUCUGUACCGAUUUUAUCACAAGAACAUCACCCUGGGGAGGAGCUCAGCUCAUGCUGGAGGAGGAGCGUCCUUCAACCUCUCUCUGACUGCAGAACAUUCUGGAAACUACUCCUGCGAGGCCGACAAUGGCCUGGGGGCCUGGCGCAGCGAGGCAGUGCCCCUCAGCGUCACAGUGCCCACGGAGGACAGGCGAGAACGCCUGGCCUCGGGAAUCCUCGAGGGGCUCCUCGGCGUCCUUGGUCCCGUCAUUCUGGCCGUAUGCUGCUGUGGGCUCAAGAAAAGACUAGGAAGACGUCCAUCCAGGAGCCCAUGCAGGAGCCCUCCGAGCCCGGUGCCAUCAGUUUCCAGCUACGUCAACUCACCUGCCCCGCUGCAGGGACAGUCUAUGUAUGAAAACGUGAAUGUUGUCUGCGGGGACGAGGUUUACUCCUUGGUGUACCGCACGCAGCAGGAACAGCCACCAGCAGUACCGCCCCGGAGAACGCGUGUCGAGGACCAGGAUGCCUCAGCCAUCUAUUUUAGGCUGAAGAAUGCAAACGUUAGGGAUGAGGACUAUGAAGACACUAUGUAAAGUUCCGGAAGAUUCUGCUCUUUGGAAACCAUCCAUGACUCCAAGCCUCAGAACCAGUACACUCUUCAGAGACCCUGGGGUAGUCAGCUCUCCAGUACUUCCCACCCCAGUGCCUCCCCCCGAGACUAUUCCUACAACCAGCCCAGAGAACCAACAUGAACGCGGGGGUGGGAAGGACCUAGUGACCAGAACCCCAUACCUACUGGUUCUUCUAGGCUCAGGUCGAAUUGUGCUCUAACUCUUUCCUGUGAGAGGACACAAUGUGGGUGAAAGAACUUGGGAUCUUGGGGUGGAAGGACAGUGCGGCUCACCCAGCGUGCAGGGACGCAAGGUUAGUGAUUCCGCGGGGCUGCCGCACACGGACAUGGGCGCCGGUCACCUUGUAAGUGUGGACCAGCUCUGUACUGAUCUCCAGAACAGAAAUCUCAUCCUGCCACUUAAGUGACCCAGCCUGUUUCUGCGUAAAAUAUGUGACUCGGUGCAUUUGGGGUCACUGCCACCAAACAGAAUCCAAGCAAAGUUUCGUAACUACUUACCGUGGGUGCACUUAACUUUGGAGACAUAUUUUGUACGCACAGGCCAGUCUAGAUGCCUUGGUGAGUUUCACCACAUCCAAAGUGCUAUACUUGCUGCAGCCUUUAGAAGCUUUAUGAAUACAAUUUUUCUUCUUUUAUUCACAAACGUUUUAAAAA